Molecule: ribosomal RNA, 921 nt
Filed under: uncultured bacterium
Lineage: Bacteria
Description: bacterial SSU rRNA
Rfam family: Bacterial small subunit ribosomal RNA
Source: RNAcentral
GAGUUUGAUCCUGGCUCAGAAUCAACGCUGGCGGCGUGCCUCAGACAUGCAAGUCGAACGAUUAAACUUUCCUUCGGGAAAGAUAUAAAGUGGCGCACGGGUGAGUAACACGUAGGUAAUCUACCUUUGAGUGGGGAAUAACAAUCGGAAACGAUUGCUAAUACCGCAUAAUGCAGCGGCACCGCAAGGUGACAGUUGUUAAAGGAGCAAUCCGCUUAAAGAGGAGCCUGCGGCAGAUUAGCUAGUUGGUAAGGUAAUGGCUUACCAAGGCUACGAUCUGUAACCGACCUGAGAGGGUGGUCGGUCACACUGACACUGAAUAACGGGUCAGACUCCUACGGGAGGCAGCAGUCGGGAAUUUUGGGCAAUGGGCGAAAGCCUGACCCAGCAACGCCGCGUGAAGGAUGAAGUAUUUCGGUAUGUAAACUUCGAAAGAAUAGGAAGAAUAAAUGACGGUACUAUUUAUAAGGUCCGGCUAACUACGUGCCAGCAGCCGCGGUAAUACGUAGGGACCAAGCGUUGUUCGGAUUUACUGGGCGUAAAGGGCGCGUAGGCGGCAGUUCAAGUCAGUUGUGAAAUCUCCGAGCUUAACUCGGAACGGUCAACUGAUACUGUUUUGCUAGAGUGCAGAAGGGGCAAUCGGAAUUCUUGGUGUAGCGGUGAAAUGCGUAGAUAUCAAGAGGAACACCUGAGGUGAAGACGGGUUGCUGGGCUGACACUGACGCUGAGGCGCGAAAGCUAGGGUAGCAAACGGGAUUAGAUACCCCGGUAGUCCUAGCCCUAAACGAUGAAUACUUGGUGUCUGGAGUAAUUUAAUUCUCCGGGUGCCGUCGCUAACGUUUUUAGUAUUCCGCCUGGGGAGUACGCACGCAAGUGUGAAACUCAAAGGAAUUGACGGGGACCCGCACAAGCGGUGGAGCA